AACGCACAUUGCGCCCCUUGGUAUUCCGAGGGGCAUGCCUGUUCGAGCGUCAUUUCAACCCUCAAGCUCUGCUUGGUAUUGGGCCCUGCCGCUGGGCAGGCCUUAAAAUCAGUGGCGGUGCCGUCGCGGCUCCAAGCGUAGUACAUUUCUCGCUCCGGAGGCCCGGUGGUGUCUUGCCAGACAACCCCCAAAUUGUCUUCAAUGGUUGACCUCGGAUCAGGUAGGGAUACCCGCUGAACUUAA
RNAcentral lists this unclassified non-coding RNA (243 nucleotides) under uncultured fungus. RNAcentral describes it as "partial contains 5.8S ribosomal RNA, internal transcribed spacer 2, and large subunit ribosomal RNA". The stretch from base 1 to 52 matches the Rfam family "5.8S ribosomal RNA", at positions 103 to 154 of the family's 154-position model. The record is from RNAcentral. Lineage: Eukaryota; Fungi.